This 764-nucleotide ribosomal RNA is filed under the name Salmonella enterica. Its description in RNAcentral is "partial 23S ribosomal RNA". It matches the Rfam family "Bacterial large subunit ribosomal RNA", at positions 2039 to 2802 of the family's 2925-position model. The record is from RNAcentral. Lineage: Bacteria; Pseudomonadati; Pseudomonadota; Gammaproteobacteria; Enterobacterales; Enterobacteriaceae.
AAAUUGAACUCGCUGUGAAGAUGCAGUGUACCCGCGGCAAGACGGAAAGACCCCGUGAACCUUUACUAUAGCUUGACACUGAACAUUGAGCCUUGAUGUGUAGGAUAGGUGGGAGGCUUUGAAGUGUGGACGCCAGUCUGCAUGGAGCCGGCCUUGAAAUACCACCCUUUAAUGUUUGAUGUUCUAACGUGGACCCGUGAUCCGGGUUGCGGACAGUGUCUGGUGGGUAGUUUGACUGGGGCGGUCUCCUCCUAAAGAGUAACGGAGGAGCACGAAGGUUGGCUAAUCCUGGUCGGACAUCAGGAGGUUAGUGCAAUGGCAUAAGCCAGCUUGACUGCGAGCGUGACGGCGCGAGCAGGUGCGAAAGCAGGUCAUAGUGAUCCGGUGGUUCUGAAUGGAAGGGCCAUCGCUCAACGGAUAAAAGGUACUCCGGGGAUAACAGGCUGAUACCGCCCAAGAGUUCAUAUCGACGGCGGUGUUUGGCACCUCGAUGUCGGCUCAUCACAUCCUGGGGCUGAAGUAGGUCCCAAGGGUAUGGCUGUUCGCCAUUUAAAGUGGUACGCGAGCUGGGUUUAGAACGUCGUGAGACAGUUCGGUCCCUAUCUGCCGUGGGCGCUGGAGAACUGAGGGGGGCUGCUCCUAGUACGAGAGGACCGGAGUGGACGCAUCACUGGUGUUCGGGUUGUCAUGCCAAUGGCACUGCCCGGUAGCUAAAUGCGGAAGAGAUAAGUGCUGAAAGCAUCUAAGCACGAAACUUGCCCCGA